RNAcentral lists this ribosomal RNA (461 nucleotides) under uncultured bacterium. RNAcentral describes it as "bacterial SSU rRNA". It matches the Rfam family "Bacterial small subunit ribosomal RNA", at positions 917 to 1382 of the family's 1533-position model. The record is from RNAcentral.
GGGCCCGCACAAGCAGUGGAUUAUGUGGUUUAAUUCGACGCAACGCGAAGAACCUUACCAGGGCUUGACAUCCCGAUGACCGUUCUAGAGAUAGAGCUUUCACUUCGGUGACAUCGGUGACAGGUGGUGCAUGGUUGUCGUCAGCUCGUGUCGUGAGAUGUUGGGUUAAGUCCCGCAACGAGCGCAACCCCUAUUGUUAGUUGCUACGCAAGAGCACUCUAGCGAGACUGCCGUUGACAAAACGGAGGAAGGUGGGGACGACGUCAAAUCAUCAUGCCCCUUAUGUCCUGGGCUACACACGUAAUACAAUGGUCGUUAACAAAGGGAAGCAAAAUCGCGAGAUGGAGCAAAUCCCCAAAAGCGAUCUCAGUUCGGAUUGCAGGCUGCAACUCGCCUGUAUGAAGUCGGAAUUGCUAGUAAUCGUGGAUCAGCAUGCCACGGUGAAUACGUUCCCGGGCCUU